UUCACAGACUUGAACUACAUCUAUGUGAACACAGUGAAAGACAAAGUGAAGACUCAGAGAAGAAUCUACAGACGAACUGGUGUUGCAGUCUCAGACGAGGAGCUGCGGAGGACGUUCCUGCAGCUGGAGGAGGCGGGGCCAGAUCAACAGGGGGAGGAGCCUGUUCACGGCUUCAGACACCCGGACCUGCUGGGUGGAGACGACGACAACUCAGACAACGAACAUGAAGCGUUUCCUGACGACGUUCCCGCUGAGUGCGACGGAGGCGUGGACGUCAUAGCAGCAGACGCUCAGAGAGACGAGCUGAGUUAUGAAGACCUGGUGAAGCUUCGUGUGGAGCAGCUGGUGGUGAACUGUCAAGGUUACACUCAGGAGACGGCUCUGUCUCGACGAGUCAAAGACUGGGAGGACAAGAUCCGACCUGAACUGGAUCUGCAGG
This is a non-coding RNA of Paralichthys olivaceus (Japanese flounder), 439 nucleotides long. The record is from RefSeq and is a predicted model, not a curated record. Lineage: Eukaryota; Metazoa; Chordata; Actinopteri; Pleuronectiformes; Paralichthyidae.